UUUGAUCCUUGCCAAGUGAUGACACCAUGUUCAUGUCAUGCGUAGCCUAUGCAUUCCUUGUCCAAAAUGAAUGAAUUUGAGCUCUUUGGAAAGGUGAGAUCAAGAGGAAUAACUUUCAUGUUCAACACUUUUCCAUUUGGAGUUUGUAAUUUGAAUAAAUUUGAGGUGGAAGUUUGGAAAUUUUUGACAUAUCAAAAUUUUUCUAAGUGUCAAGCCAUAUGUCUUAAUGUUCCACCUUGCUUAACUUUUUAUAUGAGCUUU
RNAcentral lists this long non-coding RNA (261 nucleotides) under Lathyrus oleraceus (garden pea). RNAcentral describes it as "Pisum sativum (pea) long non-coding RNA (PSAT_LNC008501)". Lineage: Eukaryota; Viridiplantae; Streptophyta; Magnoliopsida; Fabales; Fabaceae. The record is from RNAcentral.